This 3395-nucleotide long non-coding RNA is filed under the name Homo sapiens (human). RNAcentral describes it as "HSALNT0311641". Lineage: Eukaryota; Metazoa; Chordata; Mammalia; Primates; Hominidae. The record is from RNAcentral.
GGACGAUUCCAAGGAUCACUGUUGUUGCUAAUUUUUUUUCUUUUAAAAAAUACAGAUAUUUUUAAUAAAAGUAUGUUAAUUAUGUUAACCUGUAAUGGGCUUAUUAUUUCAAAAUCAAUUAACAAUGUAAAUAUUUAAAACUUCUGUGUUAAAAUUUCUAAUAGUAUAAAUAGCAGUAGAUUUAGCCCACUCUAAGGGAGAUGGUUGUGCUUUAGUCAGGAGUAGGCCGAGGCAGCCUUCUGGUGCAGCAUGACUCAGUGGGUUUGGAGGCAGGCACACAACUCCACACAUUAUGUAACCAUGCCAUGUGAGGUGCAUUAGGUGACCACUCAUAUGAGCACGUGCUUGGCUCAAAGCCACUAUUGUCUGUAAAAGGUAAAAUUACCCUGCUGACACUACAUAUGGCUUGCACCCAGAGAGAGAAUAAAGCCAUGUCGAAACCGCCUACUCGAGUGUUUUUCCAGUUACCUGCCACCCACCCACCAACUCCCCUUGGACUUUAGUUUGGGCUAGAACCUGACAAUUGGCAUCACGAACAGGAUCCUAAGGUAAGUGAGCCUUCGGUCCCUGCUGAUUCCAGGUUGGCCAUGUGACCACAACAUGGGUUGUGGUACCCGGUGGUAGCCGUGCUGUGAGGGUGGGCCUGAGUGGAAACCUGGGUGGCAGUAGAUGGGUCCCCCAUGAGCAUGGAGAAGGCGCUGAAGCAGCUGGAAGUGCAGAGCACCAAGAAGGAGAGAGCCUUUGCUGGCAGAGUUGGAUGGGCAUUUUUAACUGUGCUAAGAAAAGUACACACCCAGUCCCUGAGGGAUGCAGACUGGAGGUCUGGCUACACCGAUCUGGAAAAUAAUUAGAGGCUGCCAUGAAUGGGGACCUCCAGGUGCAGGCAGGAUGCCUGGAGGUGUGGCUUCAGAGCUUGGAAAAGGAAUUAGAGGCUACCAUGAAUGCAGGCCUGGGUCCAUCAUCUUGUCUGGAGAUCCCCACUCAGUUUCAUACCAAGGAGGAAGAACCCCUGUUGCGGGCUCACCCGGUGGUCUGACAGAAGGUAGAUCAUGAACAGCCACUGGGGCUCCAAGGGUGGACUCAGGGACUCCCCACCAUAAUGCAACACAUUUCGUAUAUUGCCUGUACCCCAACUGAGUUGCAGGAAUUAGGCAAGCAGUGUUGCCAGUGUCCAGGGGAACCCCUGCCUGCCUGGAUGCUUCGUCUGUGGAACAAGGGAGCAGAUGGUAUCUCCCAUUCCACCUCUGAGAUGGACAAGCUGGCCUCCACCAUGACUCACCCCUCUCUCUGUCAGCGGCUGCAAGUGAGCAGGUGGUUAGUGGCAGCGCAAGGAGACCACACCCUGACUGAGUGGCUACAGGCAGCCAUAUGAACUGUGUGGAAUAAUGCUGGUGAAAUGCCCAAAACUGUGAGUAAAUGGCAGUCAUAUGCCAAUUUGGUGUAAGUCAUUCGGGAGAUGGGUAUGCGGCAGGCUAUGUUUGUCCUGAAUACCUGAGGGCCAGAUGAUAAAUGUUUCACCUCCCACAUGAGGGAUCUCAUGUUGGGUUUGAUGCUCCUGAGCCCCUUUGGCUCCCUAGCUGCUGUCCUCACCCCAUACGUAGGGCACCGCAUACAUGAAGUAACCACUGCCAUGGCGGCUCUCAGGGAAGCAGAAGGCCUUCAGGGGGAUUGGAGGGUCCACACCAUAAAGAAGGGGAAGUUACCCCACCCACAGGGGGCUCCCCCAUAAAAAAAGGGGGCCCCAACGAGUGACACGCUCACAGAUGUGGAUAGAUUUGAUUUUGGCUGGGGUUGACUGAGAGAAAAUUGAUAAGCAGCCCAAUGAAAUACUCCUAACUUUGCGGAGACAGUUGUAUGCAGGGCAGCAAUUCCGGAAAAUGCCCAAAGGGGAGAAAGGCAUUGCUGUGUGACCUGGUCCUACCCAGCUCAGAGACUACUUGCUGCAGCCAGGUGGAAAUGUAGAGCCUUUUCUGUUCAACUAGGGAACUGGCCAAAGGUGUCUGGCUUGGGGGGACACCAGAUGACCAGAGGCCACAUGUGGAAUUGGCAAUCCACUGGUCCCCCACCAAUGUACAGUGGGUGCUGGUGCUGGUAGAUACUGGCAUAGAUUGUAGCCUUGUUUAUGGGAACCCAGUUAAGUUUUUGGGCAAAUCUGCAUAUAUUAAAGGUUACGGAGGCCAGUCAGUGAAAGUGAAACCUGUAUCUCUGUACCUUGGCAUUGGCCACUUGGCUCCUUGCUUAUACACUGUGUAUGUCUCUCCCAUACCUGAAUACAUUCUGGAGGUGGAUAUUUUACAUGGCUUGGAAGCUGUGCCAUCUAUCAUGGAUUUGAUGAACCACUCGACAAUGGAAUUAGGACAGUACCACUAUGUGGUGGACUUGGCCAAUGCAUUCUUCUCAGUUGACCUUGCUCUAGAGAGCCAGGAACAGUUUGCCUUGAUGACAAUGGACUUUCACAGUGUUGCUGCAGGGCUAUGUGCAUAGCUCCACCAUAUGUCAUGGUCUUGUUGCCAUGGAUUUAACAGCCUGAAAAUGUCCAAAGGGAGUCCACUUGUUCCAUUACGUUGAUGAUAUUAUGUUAACCUCUGAUUCUCUUGCAGAUUUAGAAGCAGUGGCACCCCUCUUGUGGCAACAUUUGGCAGCAUGCAGUUGGGCCAUCAACAAAUCCAAGGUCCGAGGGCCUGGAUUACCUGCUAAAUUCUUGGGAGUUAUCUGGUCGGGGCUGAAGUUCCAGGCUGGACCUGAUGCUCCAAACCUUGAAUGAAUGGCCAUGGAAAAGCAGCCCAGCCCAGGUGGAGGCUUUGUUACAUGGGCCACCACCCCUAUUCAGUUGCAGAUACACACCAAGGGUAACCGCCUCUGACCAGGCAGGAAUUGAGGUUGUUGCAGACCUGCGUGGAUUUGCUGCCAGUAGCAGGAGCAGAGGACUAGGCCUUGGAGACGGUGAGGGGGCCACUCCCUCCCUAUCCCCAGGCAUCGGUAAGAUCUGAGACAGACUGCUCUUCCCUUGGAGUGUAUUGCUGACCUUGCCAACUGAAAAUAAACAGCUUCUGAUAGUCUUUACUAACAGAUAAUAGAAAAGAAAAAUUGCCAUCUGCACACCAGGUGCCAGGAGAAGGGUUGAUUAGCUGCAGAAAUGAAACAACACCUGAUCCUGCAGCUGCAGCUGGAGCCCCCGCCUGAUUAAGUUUACACUGGUCCACUGUCAUUUUCCAACACCUAUUUGUCUUCUGCACAAACCAGAUAGGGACACCAUGAUCAACCAGCCAAUGCCAAAGACCUCUGGGGGUCAGACUAUUCUGAGGACUGCUUUGGCUCCACCGUCCACAGUGGCAACCACACCCACUUGGUCUUUUAUGCGGGACAUGGAUGAAGCUGGAAACCAUCAUUCUCAG